AAAGGAUCUCAAGGAUUAAAUGCAGGUUUGCAGAACACUUCUCAUUCAGUCUUCAUUUUCUAAUGUUUCCUUUCCCCUAAGAACUUCUGUAAUGCCUGACAUCCUUUUUAUAUCACAGACUCUAAUGAUGCCCCUGAUGACAGUAGUGUGGAGGAUGUUUGGGAAACUAAUUUCCAUUUUAUAGCAAGCAAGCAAGCAAGAUGAAGAGGAAAAACUGAUGUCUCGGUCCUAGUGGAAGAAUUAUGUUGCUUCUUGUACCAGAAGAUUGCUCUUAGCCUUCAGAGAGCUCCAAGCUAGCCUUUAGUGGGCUGACAGAUCCACACAGUGACAUGCAGCUACAUACAGGGACACAGAUGGGUCUGCAGGACAGCAAGGUCAGUGCAGCCCUGCCUCUCAUCUCAUGCAGAGCCCUACAUUGCUGCGGUUGUGCUAUGUCCUCUUCUGGAGCAGGCUGACUUCCAGUUAUUCCUAGAGUCCCUCCACUGCUGCCUUAUUAGACAGCCUCCGCAUCUUGUAACUUUAUGCAGCAUCUAAACACAAUGAUCUCUGCAGCUUUGCUAAGGCUUCCAAUAAGGUAAAUAAAGACCUGUCAUAUCGCAUUA
Pezoporus occidentalis (night parrot) is the source of this 602-nucleotide long non-coding RNA. RefSeq lists it as uncharacterized. The record is from RefSeq and is a predicted model, not a curated record. NCBI's taxonomy places the organism in Eukaryota, Metazoa, Chordata, Aves, Psittaciformes, Psittacidae. The transcript is spliced from 2 exons.